Molecule: long non-coding RNA, 12241 nt
Filed under: Capsella rubella
Lineage: Eukaryota; Viridiplantae; Streptophyta; Magnoliopsida; Brassicales; Brassicaceae
Description: long non-coding RNA (CRUB_LNC004801)
Source: RNAcentral
UUUUUUUUUUUUUUUUUUGUCAACACUUUAUAUUAAUGAUUCAAACAAACCAAAACUAAAAAAACAUUGUUUAAAUCUAAAAUAAAACAAAACAAAACUCGGGGAUUUUUAUUUAUUUCGCGAAAUCCAAAAUCUAAAAAUCACUUAAAUCUCUCUCUAACAUUUUACUCGAUUGUACAUAAGCUUCUAAUACCAACUUGAACGAUCAUUCGAUCACAAACCACUUGUAAACAGCCGAACGUUCAUAGAUUGUUGUUUCAUAGUAUCCACACGUGACAUGUAUAUCACAUUACACAUUUAAUGUCCAAAUCGAAAUGCCACGCUUCCUACAUUAUUAUAUUUAGGAAUUUGGGUACUUGGGAGUUGGAAUCCAUUAUAAUUUAAUCAAACUAUGAUUUUAAAAUUCAUCGUCAAUAAAUUCACUCACUCGAUCGGAACUCGGAAGGUUGGUUAGUCAAUAAGUUAUACUAUUGCUUGUGUAAAUUUGUAUAAUACUGACGGGGCCAUAUACAUAUUUAUAUAGUAACAUUUGAGAAUUAUAUUUUCAUAGUAUUUAUAUCCAAAAGUGUAAUUUUUUUGGGUGUUGAAAUUUUUACUAUUAUCUUAAUCUAAAAUUGUUUGGUUGUGUUCAUAUCCAAACGCGAUUAAUGUAAAAAAAAAAUAUGUUUAAUAGUUUGUUGAGUGCCUAGCUAGAUCUAGAUGUCAACUAUUAUUAUGACCGAAUAUAUAAACUUUUAGUCAACUAAAGAGAAGAAUCCUAUCUGUUAGUAAAUAGUGAAACAAGGUCACGUAGUCACGUGAAAUUCUGCUGCAAUCAUCCUUCGGAGCAAAGCCAGGAGCCUAUAACGGAGAACUUCAAAGAUUAUUAAAUCUAUUUCCCAUAUUUAAACUAUAGAUCGAAAAUAUAUAUAUAUAUAGAGAGAGAGUAUAUAUGGAAUUUUUACAUUUUAGUGCGAUCGUGUUAUAUCCAGAACCUAUAGCGUAAAUCCAAAAUGAGAGAAUAGUCAGAUCGUAACUUGGUAUUUAAUCAAUCUGGUUUUCUAUUCGCUUAUAGUUGCUUUGAGGUUCAUAUAGUAAUAUCGAUCAAACUUGAGAUUUGAUUGUCGGGUCAAACAGUAACUCUAAUAAAUUGUUUAUUCUUAUAGAUUAAUAUUUGCAUGGAUUCACUAAUUUCGGUUUGCAUGAAUUCACUUACUUUACCCCAAACACGUGUUGAUUUUAUUUCAAGUCUGCUGCACAGCUAAAGUCAAACAUAUACUUCCCUUUUAGUUUAGUGUCCCAGGUUAGUUGGGUUUGGAGUAUCAGCUCUUUUGGGCUAUAUAUAUAAUUAGAGUCUGGCCUAUGGUUAGAAGAGAUCAUGUCUACUUUUCAAAUUGAGAGUAUAGUGUGGUAAUUGUUUUGGGCUUGGAUUAGUAUUUAGGCUAAGGGUUAGACCGAUGGAACUUACAAUGUCUGGGUUAGGGAAUCAAGUUUGAGAAAUUAGGCCGACCAGUAAUAACUUAUUUUGAUUUGCCAAUUCUGGAAAAUAUAAAAUAAAGGAUGGAAAAAGCUAUUAGAAUUUCCGACUUCUGUGGAGGGACUAUGCGUGUAUCAUCCUAUUUUGAACACUUGAAUGUCACUAUGUUCAUCGCGUGUGAUACUGAGCAUAAAGGCGUGUAUUAAAAUGUCCCGCAUAGAAAAUUGGAAAGUUUGUUGAAUAAUAUAUAAGUUAUGUGACAAACUUUCCACUCAUGGAUUAUUUUUUGUAUAUGAGUUUAGAUCUAUUAAUGUAGUCUAACUAAUCUCAAAAGAAUACAGUAAAGUAGCCUAACAUUCGGUUUUUGGUCGGUUUUGGGUCGGGUUAAUCGGAUUCGGCAACUCAAAUUGUGUUUUCUUCCUUCUUCUUCCACCCAUCUCUAUGCCUUUUAUUUCUGAUUUUCUGCAAUUUGACAUGAUUUCCUUUGAAAUAGCUGCACCAUCAACACAUAAACCAAAUUGUGAGUCAAAAUGUCAUUAAAAACAUAAGAAACAAAGAAGAAAGCAAAGCAAACACACAAAAACGAACCAAGAAAUAUGAGAUCCAUAUCAUCUUGGAGUUUAAUCUUCGGAGUUGGUUCCUUGAGGCAUAGCAGUGGUGGUUGCUGUUAGUUUCUUAAGGGUCAGCGGCUCUAAUAUUUCUUUUAAGAUCUAAAGAUGAAAAAUAUUAGAUUUUUAUGUUUUUAUAUUUCUGGUUAAUUUUUGGUUUCGGGUCGGGUAGAAACCAAAAACCGAAAUUAAUUAGUAUAGAAUCCAAUCGAGUUUAUGUAUUAAACGAAUCCAAUUUCAAUCGGUUUAUUCGGAUUGGAUCCAAUUUGGGUUUUGGAUUUUGGGCUUUCUGUCGAGGCCUAAAUCAAAAGAGAAUGAUUGGCACAUCUUAUAUAUAUUGUUCAAAGAUCUUUAUUCCAAGCAAUGUGGGACAUGUUAUUUAUAAAAAUCUUUAGCCUCUUUCAAGAUGUGGAUGGGAAACGAAAACGAAUCCAAACCCAACAUCUCAGAAAUACUACAACAAAAUAUGUAUGUUAUUUAUAUGGAUCAUAUAGAUUAAAACCAUUCUCAUAGAAAUUUGUUUGUUGGGCUUUAUCAUGAUUCUAUAUUAGUAAAGCCCAACUAAUAAAAGACGAACCACUACGAAGUUGGUUUAUGUUUAUUUAUCCGUAGUCAAAUCGCAUGUUCACUGAGAAUCAAGCAUUCAUGUCCUUCCUAAACGAAUAAAUUUUCACAUUUACUUCAGUUGUUUAGUAUAAAUCUUGAAAAUUCAUAUGAAACAAAUCUCUAAUCACUAAAUAAAUAAAGGUUGUUCGCAAACAAGAUGUCUAAAUCUCUUCCAGGUUAUAUAUAAAACUGAGAAUGAAAUGUUUUGUAACUAAAACUGAUAUACUGAACACAAACGAUCAUUUUUCUUAAUUAAACAAACUUUGAUACAUUUAUAACCAAGAAAUAAAAACUAUAUAAAAAGCCAACUAUAGAUAUGAAAUAUUUUCUUUUAAUCUCCCUUCUUUAGUAUAUCCCAAGGUCCAUUUGCAUAAGGGGGUUAGCUAUAUGAACUUCAACCACAUCACCACCCAGCAUACUCGCUAAAGCUCGCCUGAUCAUCGGAUGAACCCACGUCCGCAUGAUCCACAGAUGACGACGAGGACGCAGUUUGAACUUGAUGGUGCUGAUGAUCAGUGUCAAUGGUGAGGUCCAUGAGAUCGUUAGGGUUGGGAUCAUAGUGAUCGUUUAGAUUUCCAAUGAGCAUUGCAAUAGCAGCUUCUUCUUCGUCUCCUUGCAUGUAAUCAUUCAUUAGCUCUUCAUAGUGGUUCAUGUCAUAGUUGUUGAUUAUCUCGUUCACUUCCAUCGACUCAUCUCCACUUCCUCCAUUUUGUUUGCCCGACAUUGUAACGGCAAAGUACUGUAAUAAGAACAAGCGAAUAAUACGCACACAAGUCAUAAGUCAUAAGCAAACCAAAUCAACCCAAAAAAAGGAAAAUUAUUAACUCUAUAUAACUUCAUGUAAUCAUUGACAGGAAAAGGCCAAAAACAGGCAAUAAAGUUUUGUCUGUAUGCUCAACAAACUGAUUUCAAUGACUACUUAUAAAAUUCCCAAUUUAAUUUGAACGUCUACUAAUUAGUCAUUUUUAAUUAACCCUUUUUGUCUUUUUAUAAUUAAAAAAAGGGGAAAGGGGAAAUUAAUAAGAGAGCUCACGAGAUUCUUGCUUUCGUCCUCGUAUAUUGUUAAAGUAUCUCCAGUCUCUAAUCCAUUUUGCUUCACAAAUUCUCCUUCAGUUAUCACACACACAGACACAUACACAAAAAUAUUAAAAAAUGAAAAUCAUAUAAGUAAAAUACUUUUGAUGAAAUAAUAUUUGGAGUUCCUCAAUAUUUACCUGUGUUUUCGAGGACAUACAUUCUGCUCUUGUUAUUGGACCAGAACCUGUGACAUUAAUACCAAAAAAAUAACUCGUAAUUUAAAAUAAACCCUUAACCAAACAAAAGAAAAAACCAUUAAAAUUUAGCGUAUGAUUAAGAAAGAAGUGAGACGUGAGACUAACUUGUAUUUGAAAGACCAAGACUGCAAAGAGAAAACAUCUCUCAUCUCUACAAUGAUUCCUUCUUUAUUAGUUAACUUCGGAAGCUUUCCUUCUGCUUCCCUCUGCAUUCCAAAGCCAAAUAUUCACGUAUUAAUUUCUUACUUAGGAAAAUAACAACAAUUAUCAUUAAACCAACUUUUAAUUAAUGUCUUAAUUAAACACCCAAGAUAUAUGUAGACUUUUUCCAUGAUGAUCUUUUUUUUGUGAACAAAAAAUUCACUUUCCCAUAAUUGUGUCUCGAGGUAAAUCAUUUAAGAGAUAUUUAAUACAGAAAAGGCCAUAUACUAGACGUCUUUUCAUUUUCUUCAACCCCAUAAUGUAAAAUAAACUCAUUUUCACAAUUUUCAUCUUAGCUAAAUACAUAACAAAAACUGGGUGUGAUACAUAACAAACAGUUCAAACUUAACUAUUAACUUUAAAUUAAGAAUUAAAUUCGUAUACACACUACAUGAUAAUGUUUAAAAAAUAUAUAUAUAUAUAAAUUUGUAAUAAAACCAAACUAAUUUGAUUAAAAGAACUUCAUUUUAUUCCACGUUCUCAUGUUCAUAUGCAUCAUGUUUUUUCGUGUGAUUUCCACAAUUUUCUUCAUAAAAUUUUCUCAUUUGCAAAUAAGAAAAAUAAUGAAAACGAAACAAAAGAAAUUGUAAAGUAAACUAAACUGAAUUGUAAGAAUUUACAUACCUUUGGGAGAACUAUCCUCCCAAGCGCCCCAACAUCGCUCUUCUUCAAAAGCUUCACACACAAAACCCUAAGUUUCUACAACAACCAACCAAUUGAAAAAAAAAAAAAUUAAUAUGUAUCAUAGAGUUAAAUAUUAUAAAAUUGGACCAGCACAAAAAAAAAAAAACCUUGUCAUCGAAAGUGGAGUGAGGGUAGAGAUCUUUUUUCUCAGGGAUCUGCGCAGAAGUUUUCAUGUCAAGCAUCAUCAGCUGUCUCUUUGAAUCAACCAAGUCGUUUGGACUAGAAUUAGGGCUAGGGUUGUUUCUUGAUCUGAUCAUGGCGUUCUUCCUGUUGAUCCUGGCCAUCUUGGUCGGAUCAAGAAAUCCCAAGCAAGGGUUAGUAUUACUAACCAGAGAACAGAACCCACUUCCGGUUUGGCCAACCGGGAUCUGAGGAAAACCAUCGGAUGAGUAAAGUGUCUGAUGAGGAUUCAUCAACGCAGCCAUCUGCUCCACCGGGUAUGGAUACGGCGGCAACAAGUGAUGAGGCUGAUGAGCAUAGGUCGGGAUCGUUGUGAAGUGAGAGAGAUUGUUGUUAACAUCCAGAGAGAAGUCUUGGACAGAGUUUGCGUUAGAAGAGGAGAAGAAGUUAUCCAUUUUUCCCGGGGAGAGAGAGAGAAAGAGAGAGAGAGAAAGAGGGAGAGAUAUGAAUGGAAGAACAAAAAAUAAAGAGAGAGGUCGUUGGGGAGAUUGAUUAGAAGAGAGCGAGUGAAGAAGAGACAGAUGUUGGAAAAACACAAAAGGAAACGAGUCAAAAUGUUGCAGAUGGUUCGAUGUUGCAGCUUAUGGGGAUACCCAUCUCACCACUCACACAAGGAGAGAGAUGUGAUUAUAUAGAGGCUGAGACAUAUACAUACAGUCGUGUAUAUGUAUAUGUGGCGCCAGAUUGUGUUUGAAUGUAUAUAAAUGGUGUUUAUGGCACAGAAGACCACGAGAAGGUCAUUGGCUGUUUCUGUUGUUUUUAUCUGAGAUAUAGAGAGAGAGAGAGAGAAGACUCUUUGUUUUAUUUUGGAGUUGCUUGGCUCUCUUCCUUUUAUUUACUCUCUUAAGCUAUCCUUAAAUCAAAGUUAUUACUUAAUAUUUUGUUCAAACUUUGAAAAGAUAAAUCUUUGUAGUUUUAGUAAUGGUUUGAUAGUUGGCAAUAAUAAAUUUUGGGGAAAUCAAUUAACAACCAUUUAUGUUUUGUCAAAGUUAAAGUUAUUCGUUACUAAUAUUUUUGUCGCUUGUACAUAUAUAUAUUUCUUUUUGACAACCUUUUGUCGCUUGUACAUAUUUAGGAAAAACCGUUAUUUUCUUAAAAUAACUUUAAUUUAGAAAAUUUUUGUAUUCAAAGAUUGGAAACGACAAAUCCAUUUAACUUUAGAAAUAUUAUAAUAUUCACAUAUUAAGUGUUACAAAAACUUUAUAACUUGUCACUCUUAUUUUGUAGAAACUCAUUAAUCGCCAUAAGUAUAUAUUUUGUUAUUGGACAUACUUUGGGAAAAGCUUACUUUUUGGUAUACUUAUAAGGCACUAUAAUAUCUUGUAAUUUAAAUACUCAGUAAAAUAGCUACUAAAGCUUUAGAAUUCAGAAUUCAAUUAUGUGUAAUAUAUUUACUUUAAACCUAAUUAUUUGGUAGUAAAACCAAUAUUAUACAUUUAAAAAGCUUAUAGCUGAUGUAAUCUUUAGAUGAUUUUGGAGUGUUGAGUGUGUUUCUUAGAACUGUUAAAAUAGGCAGUCCAUAGUCCAUCUAUGUCCAAUUUAUUAUGGACAGUUCAGUCACAAGUCCAUAUGUGGAGCGGAGAUGGUCUUACACUUUCAGGGAUUUCACACUUUCUUCUCCCAAACGGCUGGUGCUAGUGGAGUAUUUAGGACUAGAAAAGUAUUUGGAUUAGUCAGUUUUGGACAUGAUGACAUUUAAGAGCAUUGAUGCUUUGGCAUAUUGGAGAGCCAGUUCAAACCGUUUUAAGGAGUUGUCUUCUAUGGCUUGUGACAUUCUUAGCACCCCUAUUACGAAUGUGGUUGCGAAAUCAUCGUUUAGCAUAUCAACAUGGGUUUUAAGGAAGUAUCAAAGUUCACUUCUUCCUUCUAAUGUUCAUACUUUAAUAUGUGCAAGAAAUUGGCUUCGAGGAUUUGAAGAAAUUAUUGAUCUAUGUGAGUUUAUCGACAAAGACAAUGAAGAACAGGAGUUUGAAACAUUUGUGCUAAAAUUAUGUUUGAAUUUUGAAGUUUAAUUUCUAGAGUUUUGUGGUCAAAUGUGCAUUUGGAUUUUGGUACCUUUAACUUUCGUGUCAAAUUUGUCUUUGGAUGUUGUGUUUAGCCAUUUGUGUUUUAAUUUUUUUUCCUUAUUUUACACAAUUUGUUAUAUUUUGACCAAUAGACACUCAUAAAUAGCCCAUUAAAUAUGGUCGCUAAUGGACACGGUCAACUAUUUGUCCAUAACUAAAAUGGAUAAUGUUGGACGUCAAAUUAUAAUGGACUUGGACAGUCCAUUUUAAGAGCUCCGGUGUUUCUUUCGUUACCACAUACAAUUAAAUCUUAUGGUUGCUAUUAUUUUAUUACUUGUUAAUUUUGGAUUACUGAUUAGAGCAUUAGUUUGAUAGUUGGCAAUAUUAAAUUUUGAGGAAACUCAAUUAACAACCAUUUAUGUUUCGUCAAAAUCAACUUUAUUCGUUAUUAAUACUUUUGUCGCUUGUACAUAUUUCGAGAAAAUCCGUUAUUUUAUUGGAAAAAACUUAAUUUAGAAAAAUUUAGAAUUCAAAGAUUGAAAAAGACAAAUCCAUUUACCUUUAGAAAUGAUAUAAUAUUUACAUAUCAAACGUUACGAAAACUUCAUAAAUUGUUAUAACUCAUAUUUUCAACAAACUCAAUUAACCAUCAUAAGUACUUUAUCGAUAAAAACUUAUUAGGCACUAUAAUUUCUUGUAAUUAAUAUACUAGAUAAAAUAGUUACAAAAACUUUAAAUUUCGAAACUCAGUUUUGUGGAAAGUUUAUUUGUCUCGUUAGAUGAUAUUUGUUGAGUGUGUUUCUCUCGUUACCUCAUAAACUCAAGUCCUAUGGUUGCUAUUAUCUUAUAACUUGCGAAUAUUGGAUUACUGAUUAGAGAAGCACCUCCAUCAUGCAUCCAAGUUUGUGUAUAUGUCGUGUUGAGCUCUUAAUUCCAUCUGAUCUCAUGGCUGAAGCAAUAUCUACAUAAAUAAGCAUUAGUGCGGAGAAAUGAACUCGGUCUUCUUGUGAAUGCUCGGAUAGAAGUUUCUUUAGAAAAUCUUUGAUGAGCAUCACUUCCACCAUCCAUCGGUUGUCGCAGCCACAUAUUCUCUUUUCACAUACUUUCUCUCCUUUAUUACCCACAUAAUGAUCUCGUUAGCUAUCUUUCAUUCCAACUUGAUAGUUGAUACAAUGAAUCUCAACCCUAAAUUAGUUCUUUCUCCGAUGUAACAUCUUCCUAGAUCGUUCAACCAUAUCUACAAUCAUCACAUGUUGUUGUUAUCCUCAAAUUUGGAGAAGACGAAUGCUUAGAGAAAGGAUCUUCCAUUAAGAAGUCUAGGUCCAUGGCUCCUAGAAAAAAAAAUAUUAAUUAGAGAGUUCUCUAAUUCUUAUACAAACUAUUGAUUUUAGUUAUAGAAAACAGAAGACAUUGGUAGGCAUUUCCAUUUUAUUUUUUUAAUUCAAGAAAAGGGAAAAAUGUGAUGAGAUUUACUUUUUUUUUUCUUCUUCUCUUAUUCAUUGGUUAGACAACUUAUGUGUAUAUAAAUAAGAGCCUCUGCAUCUCUUUUCGUCAAUAUAGAUGAGAUACUUGUCUUGCAAUCACUACACGUUUAUGUCGAAAAAACUUUGUUUUAGGACGGAAUGGCUUCAUCACGAUGUCGUAGAGUGCAUCCUCGAGAGAGCUCCGGUGACAUCUCUGCUGAGAUUCAAGGCUGUAUCGAAGCAGUGGAAAUCAACUAUCGAAUACCAUUCAUGCAUCGUCAGCAAUCAGGAGAUCAUGAUGUUCUUAUGGUGUCUGUUCUUGUCUACAAGGAUGGUUUUACACUGUCCCGGGCAUGUUACCCUCGGGUUUCGAAUGUCUAAGAACAUUGAUGUCGGGUUCAUCAUCGUCACUUCAGAUCCCUACUCAUUGGGAAGACACAUAUCACUUUGUUUGUAAGAGUAGCUGUGACGGUCUCGUUUGUCUCUACUUUCCCGAUCGCAUAUGUUUUGUGAUCAAUCCCACCACUAGGUUGUAUCGAGUUCUUCCUCUCGCUAUAACCAACUCAUCAUCGACACAGGAGUAACCAUUUUGUUUAUGCUUGGGUUCCGCAAAGACAAAUUCACCGGCACAUACAAGCCCGUUUGGUUAUACAACUCCUCCAAGUUUUCACUAGAAAACAUUACUACAUGCGAAGUUUUCGACUUUACCACCAAUGCCUGGAGGUAGGACACUCCCUCUGCACCUUACCGGAUUAUGCGCAGAGAUCCUGCUGCGUAGAAACCAUAAUUAUAUCUUUGGAUCUUCACACUGAAGCUUUUCAAGUCAUCCCUAUAGCUCCUUUUGCCAAUGCACAACAUGACUUGUUCACCAUGUGCGACCUCGACAACCGCUUGUGCGUAUCCUCUAUAAAUUGGCCCAACCAAGAUAUAUGGUCUUUCAAUUCAUAGAGCAAGACAUGGAUCAAGAUUUAUUCCAUAGAUGUUAAUCAAACUUUCAGGCAGUUUGAUUUCCAAGUUCAACUAUACCCGGUCAUGCCACUAGCACUUUUGGUUUGUACAAGUUUACAACUCUUUAAGUUAUGGUUAUGGUCUUGUAUCAACAACGUUAGUGGCUAUUUUGCGAAGUUUUAUUUUUUGUUGUUGUUGUUUUUUUUUUGCAUGUAGCUCGUUUCUCAUAGCUACAAAUUCCUUCAUUACUAAAUUCACUGUUAUCUUGUGUAGGCUUAAUUAAAACAGGAAAACUAAUGUACGUCAAAUUAUUUAAGAUGACAUAAUACAUAUGUAGUUGAAUUAUAGGUUUAAGUUGGAUUAUGCUAUGCAUGCCAACCAAAUAAAAGUUCGUCAUCAGAUCAGACCUUGACACAUAAAAUUCAUGAAUGUUAGCACUUAGAACUAUAUCAUUUAUCUCAAAAUCCCUCCAUAAAACAAACUGUACAUUGCUGAUAACACAACAAUCAUCUUCAUUGAAAUUAUAGAUAGAAUGUAUAUAUAUAUAUAUAUAUUUUAACUUAUUACCUUCCCACUAAACUAUUUCGUUCACAUUAGAAGUGAAAAUGAUUUUAAAGGAAUAUAUAUGAAGUUUAUCGGGCAAAUAAAUCCACUAUUGCUUAUUAGUGAAAAUGAUUUUAAAGUAAUAUAUAUGAAGCUUUUUUUUUUUUUUGAUGACAAAAAAAAAGCAACAUUACCCAUGGGGUUUUAAGCAAUUUUUAGCACAAGAUAUGCUUAGAAUGACUUCUUAAAUAAAAGGCCACUCGGCGACAAAAAAAAAAAAAAGGCCACUCUUAACAAAUCUUAUGGUAAGAAUUGUUUAAGACUCAUGGAUAAUGGUGGUCUUAGUUAUGAGUUAGAAUUCUAAAUGCAGUAUGUUAUAUUCCUUUUUAACAAGUUUCUUAAUUUAUAAUCAUCAAAAAUUUGUAUUUUCUUAUCAAAUAUAGAGUACUAGGUUCGGACCCGCGCUACAGCGCGGAGGAAAAUUACCGGUUUUAUUGGUUUAUUAAGGAAUUUAAAAAUCGAGUAUACAGUUAUAGAAGAUCCAAUUAAAAACUUUUGGAGCCGUUUUUAAAAUAACCCGAUCUGAAUUCCUUUUUUAUUUCUUUUUUAAUAUAUAAGAGAUAUAAUUCUUUGAUAAAACUUGUUCGUAUUAAAUUUGAUUUAAUCAAUAUUUGAAUAUUGUAUUUUGUUAAUAAGACUUUGUAUAAACCAUCGCAAAAAUUUGAUUUUCUCAUACGACCCGUAAUUCACUAAAACUGAAUAACUUUUCCAGAUAAUUUCAAAUUAUAUUUAUGUAAGAUUUGGUAUUACAUUGUAUUUGGUUUUAGUUAAGUGGUGUGUAUUAUGUUCCGAUCGAUUACAAAAUUAUUAAUGAUUUAAUAUAUGUUCUGACAGGUUGUAAAAUUAACAAUUAUUUUAUAUAUUUAUAAUAUUUGAACCAUUUCAAACUUUUAAUAUUUAUAAUAUGAACAUUUUAAAAUUUUUAUACAUAAACUAAUGGUUCAUAUUGCGUUGUAAGCUCUCUAUCUAAUUAAGAGAAUGGGUUAAGGAAGUUUAGGAAAACUAAUCGAGAUGCUAGAAUGAGAGGUUAGGUUAUAGUUUGUAAUUAGAGACACUUGUCUGUUUGUUUUAAAGCCCAGUUCUCGAUUUUAGUUGCUUUAUUAGUCUCUUAUAUAGUGUAGUAACUAUGCGUAGGCAUAGUUAAGUGUAAUAGCAAUGCGUAGUCUCUUAUAUAGUUGUUCACAUCCUAUUAUAGUUAAGUGGUUCAGGAUAUGUUAUUCGUUUUUUAUUCAUCGAAUAUUCUGUUUUUUGAUAUUUUUGAUUUUCAUAAUAUUAGAUUGCACAAAAGCAGGAUCUGUUAUGGCAAAACAAUUAAUUGAAAAUCACGAUUUUUUAGGGAUUGCCCAAAUAUCAAUGAAAUUUCCUAAUAUACAGACAUUUAUAUUUGCAAACUAAUUUAAUUUCGAAAUAACAUUAAUGCUAUGCUAAAAUCGGCCGGAUAUAUCCAAUAAUUUUGGUAAGAUCCAUUAACGAAAUAUCCAAUUAGAAAAUCUGGGUUUAAUUUUUUUAUAACUCGACCCGAAAACACAAUUGUACUUCUCUUUUAAUAUAUAAGGGAUAUGGUAUAGAAACAUUGUACUACAUAUUUUGCCCACCCACACGACCAAAGAGGCUCUUAUAUUUCUAAGAAUUUUUGUAAGAUAUAAACCAUUAUCUUAAUUAAAUAACCAAAAAUAAUUUUUAUUAAACAAACUAAAUAGAAAUAUUACAUAUACAUAGUUAUCAAAAAUUGAUCAGGAUACAUUAUAUACCUUUUGAACUGAGUAAAUAUAUAUGUAAAAAGUUAAAGAAAUAAAAGGUAAAACUGAAAUUUUGCAUAAACAACGUAAUAACAAUAAUGUUAGAGAUUGAAAGAAUAUUUAUUUUGUUCACAUCUUAUAUAGGCUUUAAUUUACGGUUGCUCUAGUAGACCAAUACCAAUAUAACAGUUAUUACUGUUACAUUGGCCUCCAAUUAUGCACCUUACGGAUCGGACCAUUCUCUCUCCUGAAAUAAACUCCAUCUUCUCUAGCUAUCCAAUCAUAUGUGUGUCCGUUAGGCACACCAUCUUGGUAUUUAUACACAUCAAAUUUAUUUCCAAGCCUAUAGUUAGGCCCAUGUCUUAAAGUACACCAAUAAAGUUUCGAGCGACGCCAAUUUUGUUCGACACCAAAAUGGUGUACUUUUCCCCACGGUAUAUAUUUUGGUCCUUGGUCCUGACUUCCAGAUUUAC